UAACUGGGUUAGAGGCAAAUGAAAUAAACAUUCGGUAAAUGUAUUUGAUUUCGAGUCAGUCGAUUGAACCUCAUAUAGCAACGGCCAGGAACCGUUACAACUUGUUGAGAUGGUAUUGAAUAGAACCCGACAAGUCGUACAAAACUCGACCACGAACAGGGAACGCAGACCAAAUCGGAACCACGAACAGCGACUAACCAAUGAUGGCGAACUCGAGCGGAAUUCAAACUCAAUCCGAAACUUGAGACUUGCCGGAAGAGAUAUUCAAGGAGCUCCUGGUUGAUGGGUUCCUAUUGGUGAUUAUGGAGGUGUUGAUGCUCGACGACUCGCCGGCCAGCUUAUCGGAGAUGGCAGCGAUGGCUGAUGGAAUCACUGAUUUGAGGUCGGAGCGGUCGGCUGCUGCUUCUCCUUUAGUCCCUAUAUAUUUUGUUAAUGAAGAUAGUGAAUAAGCAGAUCCGACGGGAGGUCUGUGUUUUCGUUCCAGUAGAAGAAAGCUAGGAUCGUUUUGGCGCUGAUUUUGUAUAUAUUAGUGUGUGAUUCUUU
This 543-nucleotide long non-coding RNA is filed under the name Nicotiana benthamiana. RNAcentral describes it as "long non-coding RNA (NBEN_LNC028630)". The record is from RNAcentral. Lineage: Eukaryota; Viridiplantae; Streptophyta; Magnoliopsida; Solanales; Solanaceae.